GGUGAUCAUGUGAUACAUUUUAUAAAGUAAACUGGUGGCUUUGUAUUGGAAAGAGUCAGAGGUCACACAUGAAGGCAGCUCCACCCUCUGUGUGUUUUAUGUAUGUUUGUAUAUAUUUUUUCAUUUCCUUGUCCAACCUGGGCUGAACAAUAUUCUGCGAAUUGUCCAUUUUCUCAGAGUACUCGCUGCAGCCCUCAGAGGUUUCGAUCAAAACUUUCCAGCUGAGAGAUGAAGUUACAUGACUUAAUCUGCCUUUUUUAUAUUUUAACAUGUUUUUGGAUAUUUAUUAACAAUUUAAAGGCAAAAUAUUAAAGAUUAGAGAGAUGUUAUGAAACAGCUGUAGAAAGACUUCUAGUUCUGCAUUCACAUUGUGAACAACGUGGGGCUGCUGGUGCAGAAAUGCAUAGUUUAUUUUGACCUUUAAACGUUACACUUGAAAUUAUACUAAAUAUUUUUACAGUAAGAAUGAGUCAAAAAAAUGUUGAAGCACACAUGUACUGCUACGUUUUUUUGUUGUUGUUGUUAAUGUGGACAUCCCACAUAUCUGAAAAAAUAUGUAGAUCUGGGACUAGUGGCCGCUUAGCUUAGCUUAGCUUAGCAUUGGACCUAGAAAUUAGCUUAUCCAAAAUCAGCAUAGUGAUGUGUGGUGUCAACCAAUGAAAGUGGCUUGAAGGCCAAAGGUGGAGCUCUACGUCAAGUGCUACUACUGCCACUUUUGUCUAGCCUGCAGGUAUCUUCUUUGGAGUCACACAAUAUUGGACGAUCACAAGGGGUUUUUUCUUUUUCUUUUUUUUUUUAGACUUAGCUAGAAAAAUUACUUGGCUAUGCUAAAGAAAACAUUGUUUGACUGUGCAAGUUGAGAAAUUAGGCUAAUUGUACCUACACUGCAACAACAUGACAGAAAUUGAUUGCAAUAAACUUGUCAAAAUGUUGAAUUCAAGCAUCCUUUCAGGGCCAGGGCUAACUAACAUAGUAAGAUUUUCCAAAAGAAACACCAGCAUUUUUGUUACAAGUUAAGUCUGCUAUAACAAUAUUUCCAGAGAGAAGCUCAUCUUUAAAUGGGAAUUGAUUUGAGGUAGACUGGAGGCCACUGUGGCAUUGCACUGGCUCAGUCUAAACCAGUCUCUGGCCACUUUCAGUGUAACUGGGUGGCUAGCUGGUUUAAGUCCUGAUUAUACUCGGACAUGGACAGAUGGAGACAUGAUGGCAGAGUUGCUAUAUUUUAAUGUAAUGUCUCAGCAGAUGAGUCCGUUAAGUCAGAAGAAACAUGCAGAUCGGCAGAUGUCUGGAUAGACCCUGGCACUCACUGUCUGACGAAGAAAAUUUAUGUCACUUAAAUACCCGCGGACUGGCUGCAGAAAGUAUAAUUAAGGCUUAACAACCAGCAUAGGCUUUAUUAAGAACUCCGUAGACUUAUGGGGUCAGGUGUUUCAAAGCUUUACGGAAAGAUAAGCUAAUAAACUGCUAGCUUAAGUGCACACCAGGAAAUUAUUCUUAAACACUUGCACAGUUGGGUGAUUCUCACAAAGAUCCCCCCACACGAGGAAAAAUACAAGGCUUCUGGAACAUUGAUACUAUUAAAGAUUCAGUAUUUUCUAACUUUCAGAUGUUAGUUUAAAUUUUGCCUUUAAGCUCAUCAUUUUCCUCCAAACUGUCAAAGAAAGUAGAAUCUCGUGUUGCUCAGCUGUGAGGCGGGCCUUACUGCCAGGUAAAUGCAACAUGUGGACCGUGUAAAGGCUACAAAUGCUUGGGACAGUUCUCCAAGGCUUUUGGACCUUUUAAAGAGAAAAAUCAUGCGUGUAUAUGAGGCUUUUACUGUUCGUCUCAUUCUAAUUUAUUUAGAAUUAUGUUGCACAUUGGAUCUUAAGUUUAGCUGCAUGUUGUUCACAGUGUGAAAGCACGUUCUUCGAGCUGUACGCUGCCUUAUUUCUGUGGGAUUUUGAACUUUUAUAGUGACUGCAGAGGAUGUUGGAAAGGUUUCCUGAAAGUUUCUCGUAACUUCUCUCAUGACAGACAGAAACACUCAGUCCGCCCAGGUCGGGUCUCUGCUAGCUGUAAAUAGGAAAGUUCAUAUUUUCUAUCAAUGAUGUGCAAUUCUCAUGAAGGGACAGUUCCUGCAGUCUUUUUUUGUUUUUGAUCAGUUUGAAGCAAAACGAGGUUUGAUGUUUUAAUUAUUCUCUCCUUAAAAUUAUUUUUGGUCUAAUUGAGGGUUUAUUCAGGGCUGAACAAAGAGUCUAAUAUAAUCACUCACAAACAAAACCAGCUGUACCUCAAAUUUGUCCAACACCUAAAAACCCCCCACACAAAAAAACAUUUUAAACUGUAAAUGUUUUUGUCUAGGUGUGUGUUUGUAUCAUCAGCGCUUGUUUUUGUUGAUCCAUGUCGGGGCAGUCGCCUCCUCAUAACUGAUUCUGUUAAAAUCCAGCAUAGAUGUUGCUAGCUAAAACAAAACAGGCGCAUCUCGGUGCUGUUUUACUAGACAGCGAGAAGGAAUGUGCGCACACACAAAGAGGGCCUGAAAUUAAUAGCUGGCCGCCAGUCGAACACAAGCGCUAAAUCAGAAGAUAUUUUUUUGUAAUUUUUUGUUUAUUUGAACCAAAUCCAAAAAACUUUGAAAAACAGUAUUUUGAGAUCUGGGAAGAUGUGUUUUCAGAUUGGGUUGUUGGUUGGCUAAAAAAAAAAAAAAAGUUUCAGAGCCCAAAAAACAGAGUUUAAUAUCAUGCGGCUUCAUGAUGAACAAGUUUACAGCUCACUGAUGUUUUAUUUAUGUCAUGUUACAACCUUGAAACCGUGACCUGUGUAUCAUUUCUUUUGAUAUGCUGCUCUGGAUCGUUCACCUGGAAUUAAACUGAUGUCUUUUAAACUA
Astatotilapia calliptera (eastern happy) is the source of this 2866-nucleotide long non-coding RNA. The record is from Ensembl. NCBI's taxonomy places the organism in Eukaryota, Metazoa, Chordata, Actinopteri, Cichliformes, Cichlidae.